Molecule: transfer RNA, 100 nt
Organism: Fusarium verticillioides 7600
Lineage: Eukaryota; Fungi; Ascomycota; Sordariomycetes; Hypocreales; Nectriaceae
Rfam family: tRNA
About the family: Transfer RNA (tRNA) molecules are approximately 80 nucleotides in length.
Source: Rfam
GGGCGAAUGGUUUAGUGGUAUAAUACUCCCUUAGCAUGGCUUCGUUGCUCAUCAACCCUUCAUCUGGGAGUGGUCCAGGGUUCGAUUCCCUGUUCGUCCA